UACGUAGGGGGCAAGCGUUAUCCGGAUUUACUGGGUGUAAAGGGGGCGCAGACGGCGAUGCAUGCCAGGAGUGAAAGCCCGGGGCCCAACCCCGGGACUGCUCUUGGAACUGCGUGGCUGGAGUGCAGGAGGGGCAGGCGGAAUUCCUGGUGUAGCGGUGAAAUGCGUAGAUAUCAGGAGGAACACCGGUGGCGAAGGCGGCCUGCUGGACUGCAACUGACGUUGAGGCCCGAAAGCGUGGGGAGCAAACAGG
RNAcentral lists this ribosomal RNA (253 nucleotides) under uncultured bacterium. RNAcentral describes it as "partial 16S ribosomal RNA". It matches the Rfam family "Bacterial small subunit ribosomal RNA", at positions 524 to 776 of the family's 1533-position model. The record is from RNAcentral.